AUUGAACGCUGGCGGCAGGCUUAACACAUGCAAUUCUAGCGAGCGGCGGACGGGUGAGUAAUGUCUGGGAAACUGCCUGAUGGAUGGGGAUAACUACUGGAAACGGUAGCUAAUACCGCAUACCAUCAGAUGUGCCCAGAUGGGAUUAGCUAGUAGGUGGGGUAAUGGCUCACCUAGGCGACGAUCCCUAGCUGGUCUGAGAGGAUGACCAGCCACACUGUGACUACGACACGGUCCAGACUCCUACGGGAGGCAGCAGUGGUGAAUAUUGCACAAGGGGCGCAAGCCUGAUGCAGCCAUGCCGCGUGUGUGAAGAAGGCCUUAGGGUUGUAAAGCACUUUCAGCGAGGAGGCGUUACUCGGAGAAGAAGCACCGGCUAACUCAGUGCCAGCAGGCGCGGUAAUAC
This 406-nucleotide ribosomal RNA is filed under the name uncultured bacterium. RNAcentral's name for it is "partial 16S ribosomal RNA". It matches the Rfam family "Bacterial small subunit ribosomal RNA", at positions 30 to 526 of the family's 1533-position model. The record is from RNAcentral.